Molecule: unclassified non-coding RNA, 347 nt
Filed under: soil metagenome
Description: partial contains 5.8S ribosomal RNA, internal transcribed spacer 2, and large subunit ribosomal RNA
Rfam family: 5.8S ribosomal RNA (bases 1-120)
Source: RNAcentral
GAUGAAGAACGUAGCGAAAUGCGAUAAGUAGUGUGAAUUGCAGAAUUCCGUGAAUCAUCGAAUCCUUGAACGCACAUUGCGCCUCCUGGUAAUCCGUGAGGCAUGCCUGUUCGAGCGUCACCAAAAUCAAAUCAACCACUCCGGUGAUUGGUCAUGGAGGAAGAGUCCGUCGUGUUGUGGUCUCCCCUCCCAAAAUAAAUGGCGGAAAGUUGCUGGCACUCGGUGUAGGAGUAUUAUUCGCCGAUUGUCCAGUGUCGUUCCUGCCGUCAAAUCCCCACAAUUAUCUUGAUUGACCUCGGAUCAGGUAGGGAUACCCGCUGAACUUAAGCAUAUCAAUAAGCGGAGGA